This 390-nucleotide ribosomal RNA is filed under the name Eukaryota sp. RNAcentral's name for it is "SSU rRNA". It matches the Rfam family "Eukaryotic small subunit ribosomal RNA", at positions 828 to 1217 of the family's 1831-position model. The record is from RNAcentral.
CUCUCGUCUUAUUUUGUUGGUUUCUCUGUGCGGGAGUAAUGAUUAAUAGGGACAGUUGGGGGCAUUCAUAUUCAGAUGUCAGAGGUGAAAUUCUUGGAUUUUCUGAAGAUGAACUACUGCGAAAGCAUUUGCCAAGGAUGUUUUCAUUAAUCAAGAACGAAAGUUAGGGGAUCGAAGACGAUCAGAUACCGUCGUAGUCUUAACCAUAAACUAUGCCGACUAGGGAUUGGUGGAUGUUAAUUGACGACUCCAUCAGCACCUUACGAGAAAUCAAAGUUUUUGGGUUCCGGGGGGAGUAUGGUCGCAAGGCUGAAACUUAAAGGAAUUGACGGAAGGGCACCACCAGGAGUGGAGCCUGCGGCUUAAUUUGACUCAACACGGGGAAACUCA